UGGCGGCAUGCUUUACACAUGGCAAGUCGAACGGUAACAGGCCUUCGGGCGCUGACGAGUGGCGAACGGGUGAGUAAUGCAUCGGAACGUGCCCAGAGGUGGGGGAUAACGCAGCGGAAGCUGUGCUAAUACCGCAUAUUAUCUGAGGAUGAAAGCGGGGGACUAAGCAGCAAUGUUUGGCCUCGCGCCUUUGGAGCGGCCGAUGUCAGAUUAGGUAGUUGGUGGGGUAAAGGCCUACCAAGGCUACGAUCUGUAGCGGGUCUGAGAGGAUGAUCCGCCACACUGGAACUGAGACACGGUCCAGACUCCUACGGGAGGCAGCAGUGGGGAAUUUUGGACAAUGGGGGCAACCCUGAUCCAGCCAUGCCGCGUGAGUGAAGAAGGCCUUCGGGUUGUAAAGCUCUUUCGGCCGGGAAGAAAUCGCAUAGGCUAAUACCCUGUGUGGAUGACGGUACCGGAAUAAGAAGCACCGGCUAACUACGUG
RNAcentral lists this ribosomal RNA (484 nucleotides) under uncultured bacterium. Its description in RNAcentral is "bacterial SSU rRNA". It matches the Rfam family "Bacterial small subunit ribosomal RNA", at positions 37 to 507 of the family's 1533-position model. The record is from RNAcentral.